Molecule: transfer RNA, 75 nt
Filed under: Escherichia coli 101-1
Lineage: Bacteria; Pseudomonadati; Pseudomonadota; Gammaproteobacteria; Enterobacterales; Enterobacteriaceae
Description: tRNA-Gly
Rfam family: tRNA
About the family: Transfer RNA (tRNA) molecules are approximately 80 nucleotides in length. Their secondary structure includes four short double-helical elements and three loops (D, anti-codon, and T loops). Further hydrogen bonds mediate the characteristic L-shaped molecular structure. tRNAs have two regions of fundamental functional importance: the anti-codon, which is responsible for specific mRNA codon recognition, and the 3' end, to which the tRNAs corresponding amino acid is attached (by aminoacyl-tRNA synthetases). tRNAs cope with the degeneracy of the genetic code in two manners: having more than one tRNA (with a specific anti-codon) for a particular amino acid; and 'wobble' base-pairing, i.e. permitting non-standard base-pairing at the 3rd anti-codon position.
Source: RNAcentral
GCGGAUAUUGUAUAAUGGUUAUUACCUCAGUUUCCCAGACUGAUGAUGUGGGUUCGAUUCCCGCUAUCCGCUCAG